CCUCCUUGCCCAUCAUAGCUCUUCUCUUUCUUGGACGACGACGACGAAGAAGAAUAACGUCUACCCAUCGCUGAUCUGGUUUAGUUAUUCAGUUUAUCUGGUUUUGUAAUUUUUUUUUUUUUUUAAUAUCUUAAUGCUGCUAUAUAUACUCUAAUUCUCAGGCCAGAUAUGUGAUGCAUGUCUUGUUGUUUUCAAUCGAUUAUGCCUUAUGUCUUGCAUGUACUAACUCCUCGGCUAAGAAGCUCAACAGAUUUGCCAGAUGCAUACAUUUCACGGUCUUGCAGUCUCUCCUGGAAAUCUUGUGAUUGCUAUGGUUCGCAACUUUGAUCAAGAUUUAUUAGAUCCAAUGUACCAGCAAAGGACUCAAAAGGCUGCUGUUGAUUUCUUUUGGAUUGGUGCACAACAAGUAAAUCCUUUGGUCUUUGAAACAGUACGAAAAUCAGAAGAAGCCUAUGGUUGUUUGGGAUAUUGUAGCAGCAUUAUUGGCUGAGCACGUACUGGUCCAGUGGCUCUCAAUUUCAUAUGUUGGAUCUCAAUUUGAAAUGGGACUCUCUGCCGAAAAGAUUUUUCCACAUGUUUCAAAAAGUUUAUCAAAGCUUACUUCUCGCUAGUGGCACCUCCUGGAUAUUAUCUGUAUAAGGGUAAUAUUAUCAGAGCUGAAGCCUGAGCAAAUAAACAGCAAAGAGCAGAAUUUGCAAGGACUAGACUUUACUGAAGAAGAAAAAUUGUUGAAGUGGAUUCAGUUGCUUUUGAGCAGUGAAAGAGAACUCCGUGAGAGGCUUGUAGGCCUUAGUUUUUCCGCUUUUACUAGUCUGAGUCUGAGGUCCCAUUCAACUGCAGUUUCUUCUCAACCAGGAGAUUGGUUUCCCGUUGGAUUAGCACAAAUGGAGCAGUGGGUUUCACUCAAUCGUGAUGUUGUACGGGACCAGUUAAGGGUCCUUGCAAUAGAGGUUGGAAAGCAGAAGGAGAGGUACAGUUUACAAUUCCUAUGCAGUAAUAAUUCCUUUGCCAUCUUUAUUUUGAAAUCAUUUACCCCUCCUGAUUAUGUCAAUAGGCUAUUCCUAAAUAAAAAAUCGCUUUCAAACUGUUUAAUUUGAUGCUUGUUUGCUUGUCUUUAACUUAGCAUGAGAGUUUGUCAUUCACCUUUUCGGUUUUUCCCCUACUCCUUUCGUAACUGUUUGCUGGUUCUUAUAAGUACCUACAGCAAUUGGCAUUUAUAAAAUGCUCUAUUUGUUGUAGAUGAUGAAAAUGACUAGUAGUACUAGAUGUACAACUCUCUCUCUCUCCAGUCUCUGCAGUAAAAUUGAUCUAUGCUUAUUAUGUCGUAAUAACUUUUUUCUUUGUUUGGUUGGGGAAGGAACAGGCUGCAAUCAAGUGGAAAUGCAUCAACAAAGAAGUGUAGCUAUUGUUCAUCCUCGGUUCCAUUUGAAUCUUCAGAAGUUGCAAUU
Ziziphus jujuba (common jujube) is the source of this 1448-nucleotide long non-coding RNA. RefSeq lists it as uncharacterized. The transcript is spliced from 4 exons. The record is from RefSeq and is a predicted model, not a curated record. NCBI's taxonomy places the organism in Eukaryota, Viridiplantae, Streptophyta, Magnoliopsida, Rosales, Rhamnaceae.